GACGAACGCUGGCGGCGUGCUUAACACAUGCAAGUCGAACGGUGAAGCGCCUUCCUUUUUGGUGGGUGUGGAUGAGUGGCGAACGGGUGAGUAACACGUGAGUAACCUGCCCCCUUCUUCUGGAUAACCGCAUGAAAGUGUGGCUAAUACGGGAUAUUCUGGGUCUGUCGCAUGAUGGGUCUGGGAAAGAUAUUGUUUCGGUGGGGGAUGGGCUCGCGGCCUAUCAGCUUGUUGGUGGGGUGAUGGCCUACCAAGGCGGUGACGGGUAGCCGGCCUGAGAGGGUGGACGGUCACACUGGGACUGAGACACGGCCAAGACUCCUACGGGAGGCAGCAGUGGGGAAUAUUGCACAAUGGGCGCAAGCCUGAUGCAGCGACGCCGCGGGAGGGAUGGAGGCCUUCGGGUUGUGAACCUCUUUCGCCAGUGAAGCAGGCCUGCCUCGUUUGUGGGUGGGUUGACGGUAGCUGGAUAAGAAGCGCCGGCUAACUACGUG
Molecule: ribosomal RNA, 494 nt
Filed under: uncultured bacterium
Lineage: Bacteria
Description: partial 16S ribosomal RNA
Rfam family: Bacterial small subunit ribosomal RNA
Source: RNAcentral